GUGCCAGCCGCCGCGGUAAUACGUAGGGUGCGAGCGUUAAUCGGAAUUACUGGGCGUAAAGCGUGCGCAGGCGGUUAUAUAAGACAGUUGCGAAAUCCCCGGGCUUAACCUGGGAAUGGCGCUUGUGACUGCACGACUGGAGUGCGGCAGAGGGGGAUGGAAUUCCGCGUGUAGCAGUGAAAUGCGUAGAUAUGCGGAGGAACACCGAUGGCGAAGGCAGUCCCCUGGGCCUGCACUGACGCUCAUGCACGAAAGCGUGGGGAGCAAACAGGAUUAGAUACCCUG
Molecule: ribosomal RNA, 285 nt
Filed under: uncultured Burkholderiales bacterium
Lineage: Bacteria; Pseudomonadati; Pseudomonadota; Betaproteobacteria; Burkholderiales
Description: partial 16S ribosomal RNA
Rfam family: Bacterial small subunit ribosomal RNA
Source: RNAcentral